RNAcentral lists this ribosomal RNA (457 nucleotides) under uncultured bacterium. RNAcentral describes it as "bacterial LSU rRNA". It matches the Rfam family "Bacterial large subunit ribosomal RNA", at positions 722 to 1181 of the family's 2925-position model. The record is from RNAcentral.
CAGACGAGCUAACCAUGUGCAGGGUGAAAGUCCGGUGACACGGACGGGAGGCCCGAACUCACGUUUAUUGCAAAAAACGGGGAUGACAUGUGGUUAGGGGUGAAAUGCCAAACGAGUUUGGAGAUAGCUUGUUCUCUCCGAAAUAACUUUAGGUUAGCGUGUGGUGAUGACGACCGGAGGUAGAGCACUGAAUGGGCUAGGGGGCUGUGAGCUUACCGAACCCAAUCAAACUGCGAAUGCCGGUCGGUGAGCCAUGCAGUCGGACGACUGGAGAUGAGUUCAGCCGUCGAGAGGGGAAACAACCCAGACCGCCAGCUAAGGUCCCUAAAAUUGGCUAAGUGGGAAACGAAGUGGGAAGGCUAAAACAGUCAGGAUGUUGGCUUAGAAGCAGCCAUCAUUUAAGAAAGCGUAAUAGCUCACUGAUCGAGUCGUCCUGCGCGGAAGAGUGUAACGGGGC